Non-coding RNA from Myodes glareolus (Bank vole), 459 nucleotides. NCBI's taxonomy places the organism in Eukaryota, Metazoa, Chordata, Mammalia, Rodentia, Cricetidae. The record is from RefSeq and is a predicted model, not a curated record.
CUUAGAACGCUUUCUGAGCGGGGGAUCCCGAGUUCGAGAGCUUUGAUGACACCUUAACUAUAACUGAUGCGCCUUGUUUAAGUAGUUGAGUGGAGUGUUCUCUGAAGCCUGCAGAAUUCAUUUGGCAUGUGUCAGCAAUGUUCAGUUGUGGAGUAUCUGAGAGGUGAUUUGACCAUUGGUAAUGUCACAUCUGAAUGAGCUGUUAGAAAUUGAAGACUGCUUCAGGAAGACAAAUCAUUGAAGGACUGUGCCUUUGAAGGAUAUAGCUUCUUUUAUCUCUCUGUGCUUCCUGGACAGCUUUGCAGUCUCACACACUCCCCACCAUGAUGCUGUGACUCACCACUGGUCUCUCAACCUGUAAGCCAAUACGUGUGUUUGUUUUCUUUUGUUUGUUUGUUUUGAAGCAGGGUCUCUCUCUGCAUAGGGCUAGCUGUCCUAGAACUCACCAGGCACACCAAG